GAUGAACGCUGGCGGCGUGCCUAAUACAUGCAAGUCGAGCGAACGGACGAGAAGCUUGCUUCUCUGAUGUUAGCGGCGGACGGGUGAGUAACACGUGGAUAACCUACCUAUAAGACUGGGAUAACUUCGGGAAACCGUAGCUAAUACCGGAUAAUAUUUUGAACCGCAUGGUUCAAAAGUGAAAGACGGUCUUGCUGUCACUUAUAGAUGGAUCCGCGCUGCAUUAGCUAGUUGGUAAGGUAACGGCUUACCAAGGCAACGAUGCAUAGCCGACCUGAGAGGGGGAUCGGCCACACUGGAACGGGAACACGGACCAGACUCCUACGGGAGGCAGCAGUAGGGAAUCUUCCGCAGUGGGCGAAAGCCUGACGGAGCAACGCCGCGUGAGAGAUGAAGGUCUUCGGAUCGUAAAACUCUGUUAUGAGGGAAGAACAUAUGUGUAAGUAACUGUGCACAUCUUGACGGUACCUAAUCAGAAAGCCACGGCUAACUACGUG
RNAcentral lists this ribosomal RNA (497 nucleotides) under uncultured bacterium. Its description in RNAcentral is "partial 16S ribosomal RNA". It matches the Rfam family "Bacterial small subunit ribosomal RNA", at positions 28 to 507 of the family's 1533-position model. The record is from RNAcentral.